This 1202-nucleotide ribosomal RNA is filed under the name Campylobacter jejuni. RNAcentral's name for it is "partial 23S ribosomal RNA". It matches the Rfam family "Bacterial large subunit ribosomal RNA", at positions 1 to 1216 of the family's 2925-position model. The record is from RNAcentral. Lineage: Bacteria; Pseudomonadati; Campylobacterota; Epsilonproteobacteria; Campylobacterales; Campylobacteraceae.
UAAAAAAAGGUAAGCUACUAAGAGCGAAUGGUGGAUGCCUUGACUGGUAAAGGCGAUGAAGGACGUACUAGACUGCGAUAAGCUACGGGGAGCUGUCAAGAAGCUUUGAUCCGUAGAUUUCCGAAUGGGGCAACCCAAUGUAUAGAGAUAUACAUUACCUAUAUAGGAGCGAACGAGGGGAAUUGAAACAUCUUAGUACCCUCAGGAAAAGAAAUCAAUAGAGAUUGCGUCAGUAGCGGCGAGCGAAAGCGCAAGAGGGCAAACCCAGUGCUUGCACUGGGGGUUGUAGGACUGCAAUGUGCAAGAGGUGAGUUUAGCAGAACAUUCUGGAAAGUAUAGCCAUAGAGGGUGAUAGUCCCGUAUGCGAAAAACAAACCUUAGCUAGCAGUAUCCUGAGUAGGGCGGGACACGAGGAAUCCUGUCUGAAUCCGGGUCGACCACGAUCCAACCCUAAAUACUAAUACCAGAUCGAUAGUGCACAAGUACCGUGAGGGAAAGGUGAAAAGAACUGAGGUGAUCAGAGUGAAAUAGAACCUGAAACCAUUUGCUUACAAUCAUUCAGAGCCCUAUGUAGCAAUACAGGGUGAUGGACUGCCUUUUGCAUAAUGAGCCUGCGAGUUGUGGUGUCUGGCAAGGUUAAGCAAACGCGAAGCCGUAGCGAAAGCGAGUCUGAAUAGGGCGCUUAGUCAGAUGCUGCAGACCCGAAACGAAGUGAUCUAUCCAUGAGCAAGUUGAAGCUAGUGUAAGAACUAGUGGAGGACUGAACCCAUAGGCGUUGAAAAGCCCCGGGAUGACUUGUGGAUAGGGGUGAAAGGCCAAUCAAACUUCGUGAUAGCUGGUUCUCUCCGAAAUAUAUUUAGGUAUAGCGUUGUGUCGUAAUAUAAGGGGGUAGAGCACUGAAUGGGCUAGGGCAUACACCAAUGUACCAAACCCUAUCAAACUCCGAAUACCUUAUAUGUAAUCACAGCAGUCAGGCGGCGAGUGAUAAAAUCCGUCGUCAAGAGGGAAACAACCCAGACUACCAGCUAAGGUCCCUAAAUCUUACUUAAGUGGAAAACGAUGUGAAGUUACUUAAACAACCAGGAGGUUGGCUUAGAAGCAGCCAUCCUUUAAAGAAAGCGUAAUAGCUCACUGGUCUAGUGAUUUUGCGCGGAAAAUAUAACGGGGCUAAAGUAAGUACCGAAGCUGUAGACUUAGUUUAC